Molecule: transfer RNA, 77 nt
Filed under: Verrucomicrobiota bacterium
Lineage: Bacteria; Pseudomonadati; Verrucomicrobiota
Also listed under: 1 other name
Description: Verrucomicrobia bacterium (groundwater metagenome) tRNA-Arg
Rfam family: tRNA
About the family: Transfer RNA (tRNA) molecules are approximately 80 nucleotides in length. Their secondary structure includes four short double-helical elements and three loops (D, anti-codon, and T loops). Further hydrogen bonds mediate the characteristic L-shaped molecular structure. tRNAs have two regions of fundamental functional importance: the anti-codon, which is responsible for specific mRNA codon recognition, and the 3' end, to which the tRNAs corresponding amino acid is attached (by aminoacyl-tRNA synthetases). tRNAs cope with the degeneracy of the genetic code in two manners: having more than one tRNA (with a specific anti-codon) for a particular amino acid; and 'wobble' base-pairing, i.e. permitting non-standard base-pairing at the 3rd anti-codon position.
Source: RNAcentral
GCAUCCGUAGCUCAACUGGAUAGAGCUUCUGACUUCGGAUCAGAAGGUUACAGGUUCAAAUCCUGUCGGAUGCACCA